UUUGUUGGGAAUGCAUUUGUAUUUUCAGUGAUUUGAUAACUGAAGCUUCUUCUAAUCAGACUCUCAGAAUUUUAAUUUUAGAUUAAGAAGAUAACCCGAAUUGACACCAUUUUUCCCAAGAGAUAUUAGAUGGUGUAAUUUUGCCACUUUAUUUAAAAUUGUGAAUUCAGUAAAUUAAAAAGAGCUGUGUUUGAAUAUGUACAACCCAUCUGUAUUGAAAUUUACAUUUCGAGUAUUAACUGCUGUAAGUGAAUUGAGGACACAAGCCUGAGACUCGCUGUUUCUUACUAUAAAUAGAGUAUAAACAAAAACAGACUUGCAUGGAGUAGGGUUUACAACUUUUGGAACAUCUGGUAAGAGUUGGCCAAUUACAGGAAUCUGGGAAAGUGGGGAAUGAAUCUGUUUAGGAUGAUGAAAGACAGGGGACUAACAAAAGAGUCACCUCUGAAUUUAUUGUGAUUUUUCUAACCUGGCUUGUGAUUUAAUCACUGGGCUAUGGUGCUACAUCUGAGCCAAGUAUAUUUCUUAGAAUAACAACUUUCCUUUUUUUUUUUUUUUUUCCUUAACCUUGAGAAUCCCUCUUUAACAUGAAAAAAGGGAA
Molecule: long non-coding RNA, 601 nt
Organism: Felis catus (domestic cat)
Lineage: Eukaryota; Metazoa; Chordata; Mammalia; Carnivora; Felidae
Exons: 2
Source: RefSeq, a predicted model, not a curated record